RNAcentral lists this ribosomal RNA (402 nucleotides) under uncultured Methanolinea sp. RNAcentral describes it as "bacterial SSU rRNA". It matches the Rfam family "Archaeal small subunit ribosomal RNA", at positions 935 to 1338 of the family's 1478-position model. Lineage: Archaea; Methanobacteriati; Methanobacteriota; Methanomicrobia; Methanomicrobiales; Methanoregulaceae. The record is from RNAcentral.
UAAGACAGCUGGAUGAUAGCCGGGCUGAAGACUCUGCUUGACUAGCUGAGAGAGGUGCAUGGCCGUCGUCAGUUCGUACUGUGAAGCAUCCUGUUAAGUCAGGCAACGAGCGAGACCCACGCCAACAGUUGCCAGCAUGUCCUCCGGGAUGAUGGGGACACUGUUGGGACCGCUCUGCUAAAGAGGAGGAAGGAAUGGGCAACGGUAGGUCAGCAUGCCCCGAAUUAUCCGGGCUACACGCGGGCUACAAUGGUCAGGACAAUGGGUAUCAACACCGAAAGGUGAAGGCAAUCUCCUAAACCUGUCCUUAGUUCGGAUUGUGGGCUGCAACUCGCCCACAUGAAGCUGGAAUCUGUAGUAAUCGCGUCUCAAAAUGGCGCGGUGAAUAUGUCCCUGCUCCUU